This 454-nucleotide ribosomal RNA is filed under the name uncultured bacterium. Its description in RNAcentral is "bacterial SSU rRNA". It matches the Rfam family "Bacterial small subunit ribosomal RNA", at positions 340 to 784 of the family's 1533-position model. The record is from RNAcentral.
UACGGAAGGCAGCAGUGGGGAAUAUUGCACAAUGGGCGAAAGCCUGAUGCAGCUAUGCCGCGUGUAUGAAGAAGGCCUUAGGGUUGUAAAGUACUUUCAUCGGGGAGGAAAAACAAAACUAAUAAUUUUAUUUCUUGACGUUACCCGAAAAAGAAGCACCGGCUAACUCCGUGCCAGCAGCCGCGGUAAUACGGAGGGUGCUAGCGUUAAUCAGAAUUACUGGGCGUAAAGAGCACGUAGGUGGUUUUUUUAAGUCAGAUGUGAAAUCCCUGGGCUUAACCUAGGAACUGCAUUUUGAAACUGAAAUACUAGAGUAUCGUAGAGGGAGGUAGAAUUCUAGGUGUAGCGGUGAAAUGCGUAGAUAUCUGGAGGAAUACCUGUGGCGAAAGCGGCCUCCUAAACGAAUACUGACACUGAGGUGCGAAAGCGUGGGGAGCGAAACAGGGAUUAGAUA